GACGAACGCUGGCGGCGUGCUUAACACAUGCAAGUCGAACGGAAAGGCCCUGCUUUUGUGGGGUGCUCGAGUGGCGAACGGGUGAGUAACACGUGAGUAACCUGCCCUUGACUUUGGGAUAACUUCAGGAAACUGGGGCUAAUACCGGAUAGGAGCUCCUGCUGCAGGGUGGGGGUUGGAAAGUUUCGGCGGUUGGGGAUGGACUCGCGGCUUAUCAGCUUGUUGGUGGGGUAGUGGCUUACCAAGGCUGUGACGGGUAGCCGGCCUGAGAGGGUGACCGGCCACAUUGGGACUGAGAUACGGCCCAGACUCCUACGGGAGGCAGCAGUGGGGAAUAUUGCACAAUGGGCGGAAGCCUGAUGCAGCAACGCCGCGUGCGGGAUGACGGCCUUCGGGUUGUAAACCGCUUUCGCCUGUGACGAAGCGUGAGUGACGGUAAUGGGUAAAGAAGCACCGGCUAACUACGUG
This 468-nucleotide ribosomal RNA is filed under the name uncultured bacterium. Its description in RNAcentral is "partial 16S ribosomal RNA". It matches the Rfam family "Bacterial small subunit ribosomal RNA", at positions 28 to 507 of the family's 1533-position model. The record is from RNAcentral.